This 474-nucleotide ribosomal RNA is filed under the name Leptospira borgpetersenii serovar Balcanica. RNAcentral's name for it is "partial 23S ribosomal RNA". It matches the Rfam family "Bacterial large subunit ribosomal RNA", at positions 1239 to 1714 of the family's 2925-position model. The record is from RNAcentral. Lineage: Bacteria; Pseudomonadati; Spirochaetota; Leptospiria; Leptospirales; Leptospiraceae.
UUCUGUAAGCCUGCGAAGGUGUGCUGUGAGGCAUGCUGGAGGUAUCAGAAGUGCGAAUGCUGACAUAAGUAACGAUAAAGCGGGUGAAAAGCCCGCUCGCCGGAAGACCAAGGGUUCCUGUCCAACGUUAAUCGGGGCAGGGUGAGUCGACCCCUAAGGCGAGGCCGAAAGGCGUAGUCGAUGGGAAACAGGUUAAUAUUCCUGUACUUGGUGUUACUGCGAAGGGGGGACGGAGAAGGCUAUGUCGGCCGGGCGACGGUUGUCCCGGUUUAAGCGUGUAGGCUGACUUUCCAGGCAAAUCCGGAAAGUUAAGGCUGAGGCGUGAUGACGAGGCACCACGGUGCUGAAGUGACAAAUGCCCUGCUUCCAGGAAAAGCCUCUAAGCAUCAGGUAACAUCAAAUCGUACCCCAAACCGACACAGGUGGUCAGGUAGAGAAUACCAAGGCGAUUGAGAGAACCCAGGUAAGGGAAAU